This 294-nucleotide long non-coding RNA is filed under the name Vigna radiata. RNAcentral's name for it is "long non-coding RNA (VRAD_LNC015644)". Lineage: Eukaryota; Viridiplantae; Streptophyta; Magnoliopsida; Fabales; Fabaceae. The record is from RNAcentral.
UUUGUAUUAUUCUUGAACAUUUCUUAAGAGUUUAAAUGUAAUUGAAGGGACGCAACAUGGAAAGUCCCCACUCUGUGAACAGUCCAAGAAGAACUCUCAGUCUGUCAAAGCNGCGGAGGGCAACUGUGUCCUUUUUGGACCCUGAUGACAAAACCUCUGGCUUCGGAUUGUCUGGCGAUCAUGGCCCUAAGCCUUCUGAAGUUUAUGGUUUUGUAGGUUCUAUUACCACUGUUGUUGCUACAGGUCUUCUUCCCUUUUAUUCUGCUCUUCAGAAUUUUAACCCUUUUAUGUCUA